AUACUAACAAUCCGCGAUUUUGUUGUUUACAUUUUUGGUGGUUAUGAUUCUUUCCGUACCUUUUUGUUUUUUUGUGAAAAACUUGUUUGUGGUCAAAACUCUAAGGAAAAGAAUGAGCCUAAGUGUUGCCUUAUGUACAAGUGAAUUUAAAAGAUUUAAAAGUGGUUUCUAUAGGACUCCCAUUCACAAACUUGUAUAAUUUCUGCUUUCAAUACUUGCUCCUUCACGAAACUACAAAUAUGGCAAAUAUGAGGACCUAAUAGGACCUUACACGCACUUAAAUAGCUACAUAGGAAAGAUAUUUGGGUAAUUUGUUUUAGUGUACAAGAAUUACACGAAAUAUAAGAAAACUAUUAAGUUGCAAGUUUUACUAGAACAAUCACAAGCAAUACCCCUUUACAAUUCCAAAACCUUGUAAAGGUCAAUAUGGGAAAGUUUUCGUUUGUCAUCACGCUUAGUGAAACCGAAAUUUCCUUUCGGUUGGUCAAAAAUUACAGAAAUUAUUACAGCUGAAAGUGGGGAAUUACCAGAAUCAGUUCAGCAGCAAUAGGAAGAAUUUAAACGAUAAAUCUGCAGGAUAUUUUUGGAAAGUCUGAAGGCAUUGCAGUAAAUCUUCGAGUAUUACCAGGAGUUCUAGGCAACUUUUCAAAAUUUUGGGGUAUUUCAUCUGUAGGUCACCUACUGCAGUACGUACACAUUUUGACACUGAUUAAAUAGAUAAAUACUGAUUUUGUAAAUCUGCUUGUUGGAUUCGGGACAACUUAAGUAAGAAAAAUAUUAUAUGCACAACUUGGGAAAAAAGAUAUUGAUUAGUCUCUGAGUAUUUUCCCAACCCUUCCUUGGCUUGAGAGUAAGCUGUGUCCUAGACUCUUUACCAAAAGAUAAAAUUGUAAAGAAACAACAACAUUGCUUGUCAAAAAUGGAGCUGCCAGGGAGGCUGAUAGCUUUAGAAGAGCAUCCAUAUGUGGGGGUCACAUCACUCCUUUAAGAUAUAGAAAAGGUGGUAAAGUCUUGAUAAAGUAGGCAGUGCAGUGUCUUUUGUGCAGUUGUAAAUCGGGUUACUUGUUUUCUGCUCAUUCUAUUUGCCUAUCAUACUUAACAGCUCAUAUUUAGCGUGCCAAAUGGUAUUCCUCAAAAAUAUUAUUUUGUUGGUAAUAUGCUACCAACUUUUUUUCGGUCUAAAAUAUUGUUAUUUUUCCUCCAUAAUUUGUGACUGAAAAUUUUCCAUCUUGAACAUAAGAGAAAUUUUUGUUUUUUUUUUUUACCUUUUUUAGGCUUUAUUUCCAGCAUGUCAAAAUAAUAACUUCUUUCCUAGGUAGAACUAGAGCAGACACCAGUAGAUCUUUAAUCUUGGUAGUCAAAACAACAUUACAAGUUAUAGAGAAGCCUGGCACAGAAUAACCAGCAGUCGUCAGUUUUUAAAAAGAACUUAACGCACAGUAACAAAUUUGUCAACAAAUUCUUCUGUUUAAAUUUUGUUUCUUAUUUGGAGCUAAUGAAACUUUUACUGUAGUUAUUCUACUGAUAAAUAACGACAUUUAAAUGUAUUAUAAAUGAACAUUUCUUUUAUUUUUUUCAUGUUCUUUUUUGUAAUUUUUAAAGGUGGUGAUCCUCUCAAAUCAAGUAAUAUAAAAGUUCCUUGAAAAUAAAAAAUAAAUAUUAUUAUGCUAUUAAAAAAGGCAGCAUAUAUUUUUAUUUAAUUUAUUAUUAUAAGCAACAUUGUAUUUUAUUCUUUUCAAUAAAGGCUUUAAUACAUAA
Cylas formicarius (sweet potato weevil) is the source of this 1758-nucleotide long non-coding RNA. RefSeq lists it as uncharacterized. The transcript is spliced from 2 exons. Lineage: Eukaryota; Metazoa; Arthropoda; Insecta; Coleoptera; Brentidae. The record is from RefSeq and is a predicted model, not a curated record.